ACGGGUGGGAGCAUGUGGUUUAAUUCGAAGCAACGCGCAGAACCUUACCAGCUCUUGACAUUCGGGGUAUGGGCAUUGGAGACGAUGUCCUUCAGUUAGGCUGGCCCCAGAACAGGUGCUGCAUGGCUGUCGUCAGCUCGUGUCGUGAGAUGUUGGGUUAAGUCCCGCAACGAGCGCAACCCUCGCCCUUAGUUGCCAGCAUUUAGUUGGGCACUCUAAGGGGACUGCCGGUGAUAAGCCGAGAGGAAGGUGGGGAUGACGUCAAGUCCUCAUGGCCCUUACGGGCUGGGCUACACACGUGCUACAAUGGUGGUGACAGUGGGCAGCGAGACAGCGAUGUCAAGCUAAUCUCCAAAAGCCAUCUCAGUUCGGAUUGCACUCUGCAACUCGAGUGCAUGAAGUUGGAAUCGCUAGUAAUCGCAGAUCCCAAUGCUGCGGGGAAUACGUUCCCGGGCCUUGUACACACCGCCCGU
Molecule: ribosomal RNA, 473 nt
Filed under: Rhizobium sp. DASA 57076
Lineage: Bacteria; Pseudomonadati; Pseudomonadota; Alphaproteobacteria; Hyphomicrobiales; Rhizobiaceae
Description: bacterial SSU rRNA
Rfam family: Bacterial small subunit ribosomal RNA
Source: RNAcentral